Molecule: unclassified non-coding RNA, 679 nt
Filed under: Yarrowia lipolytica
Lineage: Eukaryota; Fungi; Ascomycota; Dipodascomycetes; Dipodascales
Source: RNAcentral
UGAUUGAGCUCUCCUAGGUCAACAUUAGGCAGAGUCAGAGUCAGAAGAAUCAAGACACCUCCUACAAUAACAGGGCCAUAUAACAUGUGUCAGUAGACAUUGUCGAAAACCACUACUCUGGAGUCUCGCUCGGGAGAACCUCUUGCAAUCUUUAGCGGCGUCUGAACAUUUAACCAUCUUGUCUCUCUCAGCUUCGGAGAGAAAGGAUGCAAACUCAGCCAGCUUCUUGGGAUACUGCUGUUGGUAAAGUGAUCCCGAAAUAGCGUCUCCAACAGCUGUUCCAACCGAAAUCGAAGAAUCGAAAAUGACAGUGGCAGACCUGCCUAUGAAACAACACUGACUGAAUCAUGACCAAAACGGGAAACUGAAGCGUCCCCAAACCCUUGAUUACCUGUGCUACAAUGAACUGCGCAAGCGAGUGGUAGGGCUGUUUGUACCGGUAGGUGAGACCUAGACCCAGCAUGUAGAGGCGUCCACCGACUACAAUGAUGGGUUUGAAUCUGUUGGAGUACAGUACAUACUUGAUGAUCAGGGCAACAAUGAGCGAUCCGGCCGUGUAUCCCACAACCCACACAGAAGUGACGUUUGUAGCUGCUGUGACAGACAGACCCUUGCAGACCAGCAGCCAGGCGUAGUAAUAUGGAGAGUAAAUGUAGUAGGCCAGUGAAUAGAGCGCUAC